This 497-nucleotide ribosomal RNA is filed under the name uncultured bacterium. RNAcentral describes it as "partial 16S ribosomal RNA". It matches the Rfam family "Bacterial small subunit ribosomal RNA", at positions 28 to 507 of the family's 1533-position model. The record is from RNAcentral.
GAUGAACGCUGGCGGCGUGCCUAAUACAUGCAAGUCGAGCGAACAAAUGAGGAGCUUGCUCCUCUGACGUUAGCGGCGGACGGGUGAGUAACACGUGGAUAACCUACCUAUAAGACUGGGAUAACUUCGGGAAACCGGAGCUAAUACCGGAUAAUAUAUUGAACCGCAUGGUUCAAUAGUGAAAGACGGUUUUGCUGUCACUUAUAGAUGGAUCCGCGCCGCAUUAGCUAGUUGGUAAGGUAACGGCUUACCAAGGCGACGAUGCGUAGCCGACCUGAGAGGGUGAUCGGCCACACUGGAACUGAGACACGGUCCAGACUCCUACGGGAGGCAGCAGUAGGGAAUCUUCCGCAAUGGGCGAAAGCCUGACGGAGCAACGCCGCGUGAGUGAUGAAGGUCUUCGGAUCGUAAAACUCUGUUAUUAGGGAAGAACAAAUGUGUAAGUAACUAUGCACGUCUUGACGGUACCUAGUCAGAAAGCCACGGCUAACUACGUG